UACGGAGGGUGCAAGCGUUGUCCGGAAUUAUUGGGCGUAAAGGGUGUGCAGGCGGACCUGCCAGUCAGAGGUGAAAGCCCACGGCUUAACCGUGGAACUGCCUUUGAUACUGCAGGUCUUGAGUCCUGGAGAGGCCACUGGAAUUCGUGGUGUAGCGGUGAAAUGCGUAGAUAUCACGAGGAACACCUGAUGCGUAGGCGGGUGGCUGGGCAGGAACUGACGCUGAGGCACGAAAGCGUGGGGAGCAAACAGG
This 253-nucleotide unclassified non-coding RNA is filed under the name uncultured Bacteroidota bacterium. Its description in RNAcentral is "uncultured Bacteroidetes bacterium contains 16S-23S intergenic spacer region". It matches the Rfam family "Bacterial small subunit ribosomal RNA", at positions 524 to 776 of the family's 1533-position model. The record is from RNAcentral. Lineage: Bacteria; Pseudomonadati; Bacteroidota.